This 460-nucleotide ribosomal RNA is filed under the name uncultured bacterium. Its description in RNAcentral is "partial 16S ribosomal RNA". It matches the Rfam family "Bacterial small subunit ribosomal RNA", at positions 338 to 795 of the family's 1533-position model. The record is from RNAcentral.
CCUACGGGAGACAGCAGUGAGGCAUAUUGGUCAAUGGGAGGAAUCCUGAACCAGCCAUGCCGCGUGCAGGACGACGGCUCUACGAGUUGUAAACUGCUUUUGUACCGGGGUAAAAUGCUCUACGAGUAGGGUUUUGAAAGUACGGUACGAAUAAGGAUCGGCUAACUCCGUGCCAGCAGCCGCGGUAAUACGGAGGAUCCGAGCGUUAUCCGGAUACAUUGGGUUUAAAGGGUGCGUAGGUUGUUUUAUAAGUUAGCAGUGAAAUACCGAUGCUCAACAUCGGGGCUGCCGCUGAUACUGUAGGACGAGAGAUCGGAUGCAGCAGGCGGAAUGUGUAGUGUAGCGGUGAAAUGCAUAGAUAGUACACAGAACACCGAUUGCGAAGGCAGCUUGCUAGGCCGGAUCUGACACUGAUGCACGAAAGCGUGGGGAUCGAACAGGAUUAGAUACCCGAGUAGUC